CGUGUAGGUGGUUUUGUAAGUAGGGCGUGAAAGCUCCUGGCUCAACUGGGAGAGGCCGUUCUAAACUGCAGAACUAGAGGAUGGUAGAGGGAGGUGGAAUUCCAGGUGUAGCGGUGGAAUGCGCAGAUAUCUGGAGGAACACCAGUGGCGAAAGCGGCCUCCUGGACCAUUCCUGACACUCAGACGCGAAAGCUAGGGUAGCAAACG
RNAcentral lists this ribosomal RNA (207 nucleotides) under uncultured bacterium. RNAcentral describes it as "partial 16S ribosomal RNA". It matches the Rfam family "Bacterial small subunit ribosomal RNA", at positions 568 to 774 of the family's 1533-position model. The record is from RNAcentral.